UACAGGGGGGGCAAGCGUUGUUCGGAAUUACUGGGCGUAAAGGGUCUGUAGGUGGCCAACUAAGUCAGACGUGAAAUCCCUCAGCUUAACUGGGAACUGCGUCUGAUACUGGAUGGCUUGAGUGUGGGAGAGGAAUGCGGAAUUCCAGGUGUAGCGGUGAAAUGCGUAGAUAUUCGCAAGAACACCAGUGGCGAAGGCGGCUGACUGGUCCGGUUCUGACGCUGAGGCGCGAAAGCGUGGGGAGCAAACAGG
RNAcentral lists this ribosomal RNA (252 nucleotides) under uncultured bacterium. RNAcentral's name for it is "partial 16S ribosomal RNA". It matches the Rfam family "Bacterial small subunit ribosomal RNA", at positions 524 to 776 of the family's 1533-position model. The record is from RNAcentral.